Delphinapterus leucas (beluga whale) is the source of this 441-nucleotide non-coding RNA. The record is from RefSeq and is a predicted model, not a curated record. NCBI's taxonomy places the organism in Eukaryota, Metazoa, Chordata, Mammalia, Artiodactyla, Monodontidae.
UGUGGGAUCUUCCCAGACCAGGGCUCCAACCGGUGUCCCAGGCAGUAGCAGGUCAAGAAGCCUGUAAUUCUCCAAGUGAUCUCUGAACCUUAUUUAAUGCAGCAAACCACAGAAGGAGCUGAGCUAAACAGUGUCUGCAAGUUGGAAAGUAAUAACUUUCCUCAUCCCUUCCCAUUCACCACAGGAUGAAUGAAAUGGCUGGGUGGAACUUUACUCACAACCUCUUGUACGCAGACGACUAGGAAGGAAGCUGGAGGCUUAGAGGUGAAGGUGAACGGGAACGAGUCACAGAAGAGACAGGAAGUGACAACAAGCCUAAUCGUCAGCAGCUGAGCAUGAUGACUGCAUGUUUCUGAACAGACGACAGUGGGGAAGGGUAACUACCACCUCAACUUCAGGAUAUGGUUCCUGGAGUCUCCAUUGCACAAUAAAACUGAUAUA